This 348-nucleotide ribosomal RNA is filed under the name Dolichovespula norvegicoides. RNAcentral describes it as "partial small subunit ribosomal RNA". Lineage: Eukaryota; Metazoa; Arthropoda; Insecta; Hymenoptera; Vespidae. The record is from RNAcentral.
GUUAAAUUAAAAUAAUAAAUAGAAGAGAUUAAAUGUUAUAUCAUUAAAUUUAAAAGAUUUGGCGGUACUUAUUAUUUAGAGGAACCUGUAUAGUAAUUGAUAGUCCACGAUAGGAAAUACUUAGAAUAAAGCUUAUGUAUUGCUGUUUGUAGUAUUUAAUUAAUUUAGAUUUAUCUAAUUUAUUAAAGUUAAAUAAUUCAAGUCAAAAUAUAGUUUUUUUAAGAUUAAUAUGGGUUACAUUAAAAUAGAUUAAAAAUUAGUUGAAUUAAAAAAUUUAAUUUUUUUAUGAAAAUGGAUUUAAAAGUAAAAUUAAUAAAUAAAUUAAUUUGAAUUAAAGAUUAAGUAUGU